This 74-nucleotide transfer RNA is filed under the name Saccoglossus kowalevskii. RNAcentral's name for it is "tRNA-Thr". It matches the Rfam family "tRNA". Rfam says of the family: Transfer RNA (tRNA) molecules are approximately 80 nucleotides in length. Their secondary structure includes four short double-helical elements and three loops (D, anti-codon, and T loops). Further hydrogen bonds mediate the characteristic L-shaped molecular structure. tRNAs have two regions of fundamental functional importance: the anti-codon, which is responsible for specific mRNA codon recognition, and the 3' end, to which the tRNAs corresponding amino acid is attached (by aminoacyl-tRNA synthetases). tRNAs cope with the degeneracy of the genetic code in two manners: having more than one tRNA (with a specific anti-codon) for a particular amino acid; and 'wobble' base-pairing, i.e. permitting non-standard base-pairing at the 3rd anti-codon position. Lineage: Eukaryota; Metazoa; Hemichordata; Enteropneusta; Harrimaniidae. The record is from RNAcentral.
GGCGCCAUGGCUUUGUUUGUUAAAGCGCCUGUCUAGUAAACAGGAGAUCCUGAGUUCAACUCUCAAUGGUGCCU